Molecule: ribosomal RNA, 509 nt
Filed under: uncultured bacterium
Lineage: Bacteria
Description: partial 16S ribosomal RNA
Rfam family: Bacterial small subunit ribosomal RNA
Source: RNAcentral
GACGAACGCUGGCGGCGUGCUUAACACAUGCAAGUCGAACGAAGAGCGAUGGAAGCUUGCUUCUAUCAAUCUUAGUGGCGAACGGCUGAGUAACGCGUAAUCAACCUGCCCUUCAGAGGGGGACAACAGUUGGAAACGACUGCUAAUACCGCAUACGAUCCAAUCUCGGCAUCGGGACUGGAUGAAAGGUGGCCUCUAUUUAUAAGCUAUCACUGAAGGAGGGGAUUGCGUCUGAUUAGCUAGUUGGAGGGGUAACGGCCCACCAAGGCGAUGAUCAGUAGCCGGUCUGAGAGGAUGAACGGCCACAUUGGGACUGAGACACGGCCCAGACUCCUACGGGAGGCAGCAGUGGGGAAUCUUCCGCAAUGGACGAAAGUCUGACGGAGCAACGCCGCGUGAGUGAUGACGGCCUUCGGGUUGUAAAGCUCUGUUAAUCGGGACGAAUGGUUCUUGUGCGAAUAGUGCGAGGAUUUGACGGUACCGGAAUAGAAAGCCACGGCUAACUACGU